This 432-nucleotide ribosomal RNA is filed under the name uncultured bacterium. RNAcentral's name for it is "bacterial SSU rRNA". It matches the Rfam family "Bacterial small subunit ribosomal RNA", at positions 957 to 1391 of the family's 1533-position model. The record is from RNAcentral.
GAACGCGAAGAACCUUACCCGGGCUUGAACUAGCUUCGACAGGAGUAGAGAUACUCUUUUCUUCGGACGGAGUUAGAGGUGCUGCAUGGUUGUCGUCAGCUCGUGCCGUGAGGUGUCGGCUUAAGUGCCAUAACGAGCGCAACCCUUUUCCUUGGUUGCCAUCAGGUAAUGCUGGGCACUCCAUGGAUACUGCCAUCGUAAGAUGUGAGGAAGGUGGGGAUGACGUCAAAUCAGCACGGCCCUUACGUCCGGGGCUACACACGUGUUACAAUGGGAGGUACAGAAGGUCGCUACCUAGUGAUAGGAUGCCAAUCUUAAAAACCUCUCUCAGUUCGGAUUGGAGUCUGCAACCCGACUCCAUGAAGCUGGAUUCGCUAGUAAUCGCGCAUCAGCCAUGGCGCGGUGAAUACGUUCCCGGGUCUUGUACACACC